UUGUGGCUGAGGGGACCUUUGAGGUAGUGGAUCCUUACUGUCGUGAAGUAGGAUGGCUAGUUUCAAAACCUCUCAAGCCAAGCUGAAGCCCAUGCGGUGAUCCCUGACGACCUUGAUCAAAAACAUGACCUUUGCUCUCUUUGAACAGGCCGUUCCGCCACACCAAGGCCACUAAAAGGUGAACUUGCAUCCAGAAUCAGAGAGGGU
RNAcentral lists this long non-coding RNA (207 nucleotides) under Elaeis guineensis (African oil palm). Its description in RNAcentral is "long non-coding RNA (EGUI_LNC045400)". Lineage: Eukaryota; Viridiplantae; Streptophyta; Magnoliopsida; Arecales; Arecaceae. The record is from RNAcentral.